Molecule: long non-coding RNA, 1093 nt
Organism: Haliotis rufescens (red abalone)
Lineage: Eukaryota; Metazoa; Mollusca; Gastropoda; Lepetellida; Haliotidae
Exons: 3
Source: RefSeq, a predicted model, not a curated record
GUUCCCACAUUAGGGAGUGUUGUCUAGACGUGGCUGGGGACGCCGGGGUGGUCGACGUAGAGUGAGGGGAGACGCCUUGACCACGUGGGGGCAGCCACGAGGGGCCACAACAAAGACGGAGACGAGAUGUUUGUCUACCAAAUCUGCAAUUUCAUCGUUUACAAGUAGAGAUUCUGGUGGUCGUGUGCCUAUUUCAUACAAGUCUAGAUGUCUACCCUCGUGCGUGUGACAGCAGGGCGUUCACCCGUCCCCCGGGACUCUAGACACACACUAUAUCCCACUCACGCCCACCCCCGGUAGCGACCACAAACAUGCAUGGCGGUAAGGAAGCAGGCUGUUGGGGAACGAAGUAACUAAAUUAACCUGACUGAAUUCCACCCAUUACUUUGAAAACUGUAUUAUUUACUUGGCGAUUACCUCAUGCUGAAAGCAUUUUCGAGUCAGAAAUUAGCGAAAUAUUCAGUCUAAUUAGGUUGUUUUGGCCGAAGAAUAGCAGUUAUUUAACGGGGUUAUCAUUGAGCAUCUGUAUCUCGGUACGCUCCCCGCAGUGAGUCGGGAGAUGCAUGUAUUGCACUUGUAGGCUCAGCUGCGACGCGUGGAGCCCAGCGAGCCCUGAUACAAAGACUGAAUAUUACCACCCACAAAUUGAUUUAAUUUUAAAAAUUCCAUGUCAGUUGCAGAUCCUGUUGCGAGGUUCGACACAUGUGCAGCCACGCCAUGUACAUGACGUCACCGAACGCUGCCAUCAAUGUCCCACUUCACAGCGCCUCCUAGCCUUGCUCCAAGGCUGUACUGAAUGAUAAGUCCAUGGGUGUAAUGUAAUUCUAUCCUUAUAUGGGGCCAGUCUAGAUAAGCGGACAGUCUAAAGAUGCCGGUCUCUUAUAGGGACAACUUGUUCAGCACAUCUUAUUAUUUAUAUAAUCUAGAAAUAAUGAUUUAAAUUAAUAAUUAGAGACUUGCACAAGUCUAAGCGUCUCCCUUCAAGUCAGGCUGUUGACAGUAUACAUUAUGAACUCAAUUUUUUAUGGGAUUAAACUUAAUUUCCAAAAGAUUAAAGAGUGUGAGAAAUGUCAAAGACGAAAUAAAAGAAUGC